RNAcentral lists this ribosomal RNA (496 nucleotides) under uncultured bacterium. RNAcentral describes it as "partial 16S ribosomal RNA". It matches the Rfam family "Bacterial small subunit ribosomal RNA", at positions 28 to 507 of the family's 1533-position model. The record is from RNAcentral.
GAUGAACGCUGGCGGCGUGCCUAAUACAUGCAAGUCGAGCGAACGGACGAGAAGCUUGCUUCUCUGAUGUUAGCGGCGGACGGGUGAGUAACACGUGGAUACCUACCUAUAAGACUGGGAUAACUUCGGGAAACCGGAGCUAAUACCGGAUGAUAUUUUGAACCGCAUGGUUCAAAAGUGAAAGACGGUCUUGCUGUCACUUAUAGAUGGAUCCGCGCUGCAUUAGCUAGUUGGUAAGGUAACGGCUUACCAAGGCAACGAUGCAUAGCCGACCUGAGAGGGUGAUCGGCCACACUGGAACUGAGACACGGUCCAGACUCCUACGGGAGGCAGCAGUAGGGAAUCUUCCGCAAUGGGCGAAAGCCUGACGGGGCAACGCCGCGUGAGUGAUGAAGGUCUUCGGAUCGUAAAACUCUGUUAUUAGGGAAGAACAUAUGUGUAAGUAACUGUGCACAUCUUGACGGUACCUAAUCAGAAAGCCACGGCUAACUACGUG